GCUGGUGGUCAUAGCGUCUGUGCCCCACCCGGUCCCAUCCCGAACCCGGCCGUGAAACCAGUCAGCGCCGAUGGUACUUGUGCUUAAGCAUUGGAAGAGUAGGUCGCCGCCAGUC
Molecule: ribosomal RNA, 115 nt
Filed under: Pacificimonas pallii
Lineage: Bacteria; Pseudomonadati; Pseudomonadota; Alphaproteobacteria; Sphingomonadales; Sphingosinicellaceae
Source: RNAcentral